ACUCAAACAUGUGCAGAGGGGAAUAGCAGAUUAUGCGUCUCCGUGAGAGACUACUACUGCUACAUGCUGCAAACACGGCCUGUGAUCUUCAAUCCAAUACUCUGUGGAGCACGCCUACUGCAGCAAUGGGCGGUUGACAUGUACAUCAAGAUUGAGAGCUGUCGGUUGAGGUGGUACAGGAAGAACCAGACGCAGAUCCGUGCCGACUUGUAUAAAGGAGUUGUUGAUGCGAUCACAUCGGGGGAGACGCGAGCAAGCGCUGUUGGGGUAAGAAUAGUG
RNAcentral lists this ribosomal RNA (279 nucleotides) under Triticum aestivum (bread wheat). RNAcentral describes it as "partial small subunit ribosomal RNA". Lineage: Eukaryota; Viridiplantae; Streptophyta; Magnoliopsida; Poales; Poaceae. The record is from RNAcentral.